CGAUCAAAGAUGGACGCCCAGAGCGUGGC
RNAcentral lists this small RNA (29 nucleotides) under Bombyx mori (domestic silkworm). RNAcentral describes it as "ovarian small RNA-14259". The record is from RNAcentral. Lineage: Eukaryota; Metazoa; Arthropoda; Insecta; Lepidoptera; Bombycidae.